Molecule: ribosomal RNA, 406 nt
Filed under: uncultured bacterium
Lineage: Bacteria
Description: partial 16S ribosomal RNA
Rfam family: Bacterial small subunit ribosomal RNA
Source: RNAcentral
AUUGAACGCUGGCGGCAGGCCUAACACAUGCAAGUCGAACGAGUGGCGGACGGGUGGGUAAUGCUUGGGAAUCUACCUUAUGGAGGGGGAUAACUACUGGAAACUGUAGCUAAUACCGCGUACCAUAGGAUGAGCCCAAGUGGGAUUAGGUAGUUGGUGGGGUAAAGGCUCACCAAGGCGACGAUCCCUAGCUGGUCUGAGAGGAUGACCAGCCACACUGGAACUGAGACACGGCCCAGACUCCUACGGGAGGCAGCAGUGGGGAAUAUUGCGCAAUGGGGGCAAGCCUGAUGCAGCCAUGCCGCGUGUAUGAAGAAGGCCUUAGGGUUGUAAAGUACUUUCAGCGGGGAGGCGUUACCCGCAGAAGAAGCACCGGCUAACUCCGUGCCAGCAGCCGCGGUAAUUC